GAUGAACGCUGGCGGCGUGCCUAAUACAUGCAAGUCGAGCGAACAGACGAGGAGCUUGCUCCUCUGACGUUAGCGGCGGACGGGUGAGUAACACGUGGAUAACCUACCUGUAAGACUGGGAUAACUUCGGGAAACCGGAGCUAAUACCGGAUAAUAUAUUGAACCGCAUGGUUCAAUAGUGAAAGACGGUUUUGCUGUCACUUAUAGAUGGAUCCGCGCCGCAUUAGCUAGUUGGUAAGGUAACGGCUUACCAAGGCAACGAUGCGUAGCCGACCUGAGGGGGGGAUCGGCCACACUGGAACUGAGACACGGUCCAGACUCCUACGGGAGGCAGCAGUAGGGAAUCUUCCGCAAUGGGCGAAAGCUUGACGGAGCAACGCCGCGUGAGUGAUGAAGGUCUUCGGAUCGUAAAACUCUGUUAUUAGGGAAGAACAAAUGUGUAAGUAACUAUGCACGUCUUGACGGUACCUAAUCAGAAAGCCACGGCUAACUACGUG
Molecule: ribosomal RNA, 497 nt
Filed under: uncultured bacterium
Lineage: Bacteria
Description: partial 16S ribosomal RNA
Rfam family: Bacterial small subunit ribosomal RNA
Source: RNAcentral